Molecule: long non-coding RNA, 395 nt
Organism: Heterocephalus glaber (naked mole-rat)
Lineage: Eukaryota; Metazoa; Chordata; Mammalia; Rodentia; Bathyergidae
Source: Ensembl
GACUGCUCUGAGUCGAGGCGGUAGGAGCAGAGGUCCAGAGAGAUGAGUUCAGUGGCUGCAAAGGAGCAAAGAGCCAUGUUGUCCCUUGUGCUCCAUGUGCCAGGACAAGGAAGCUGCAGCUGUCCACGCCCAGGAAAGAGAGCAAUGAAAGACAAAUGCAGCGUCGCACAGAACACACCGAAUCAGCCUGCUGCACACAGGAAGUUCUGUCCACGCCCUACCGAGGUCCUGAGUCGCGCGGAAGACACCGAAUCACCCUGCUGCAGACAGGCAGCCACCUGGUUCAACACUACAAAGACGCAGAGGACACCAGACCACCAGACCAAGGCUGAACUUGAACUCACUGUGUAAACCAGGCUGGCCUCAAACAUGCAGCAAACCUCCUCCUACUUCAG